GACCUUGGGAGGGUUGAUUAAUUGACGAGUUGGCAGUGCAACCAUUCCUUCAAAGAUCCCAAGAUAUAUCUGCUAAAACAAAAGUGCCCCCGUACACUGUAUGGGCCUGUGUUUGCAGUGGCUCUAAAAAUUUAUCUGCAACUUCUCCCCUGUGUGACUAAUGCCUGCCGCCUUCUACUCAGUGGCUGUUUCGACCCAUCACCCUUCCUCUCUGAGGCAAAGAACUCUUCAGCAAGGAGGUAUUUUUGGAAACUCAAGAGGGUGUUUUUGCAAUUUGGCAAUAAGAAGCAACAUUCUCCACUGGGCCCAAGUCACCGUUGAUAUCAAAGGAGCCAGAUUUUUGAAAAAUAUCUCUGCCUUGACUUUUCAGGGAUUCAGCAAUAAGCAAUUAUAUCUGGAAGCACCAACAUCUAGAUUCUGCUUAUCAGAAAAGUGAAUUGAAGGGAAACUGGAAAACACAGGGAAGUCAGAAACCCAAGAAACAAGAGAAUUCAAACAAAGGACAGCUUUAAAAAUUGUCCAAAGACAAAGAGAGUGACUUCUGCAACAUUUGUCCAUCUGAGCGCAAUGAUGGGUCUGGGCAUGUGUAUUUGAGAGAAGAGUCUGGAAAAAAAGCUGUGUAAUAGAAGGAGGAGAAUUGGGAGUUCCCAUGGCAAGGCUGAAGCAAAGAGGUGAGUGGCCACGGAGAGGAAAUCGAGGAAGGGGUUGAGAUUCGUUUCACACCAGGCAGCAGGCAGACACCGCCUGAGAGAUAUGGAAUCUGAAGGUGAGCUCAAGAAUCUAAGGUCACCUAGGAAUUCACAGAAUCUUUGGCAACUUUUGACUUGCACAGGCUCUAGCAAUGCAGGAAGUGGGAUCCAAUUUCUUUAGCAUCUUGAGAGGUAGGAAACUCAAAGAACUAUCAGUAUAUGGGAAAGUGCAGAAAUGGGUUUCUUUCAUUUUUUAAUUUUAAUUUUAAUUUUUUAUUAUUAUUAAAGUAUAGUUGAUGUAUAAUGUUUCAUCAAGUUCUGUUGUACAACAAAGUGACCCAAUCACACACAGUUCCCUGUGCCGUACAGUUGGAUCCCAUUGCCCAUCCAUUCUAGAUACAACAGUUUGCAUCCCCCAAACCCCCAAAAUGCGCGUCCCUCCCACUCCCUCCCCCUCAACCUCAAAUCUGCAUUUCUUGGCCACGCCCUGUUUCUGUUUUUUUGUUUGUUAUUUUUAGAUAGGAUGAUCUGUUCCAUAUUUUAGAUUCCACAAAUAAGUGAUAUCGUAUAGUAUU
RNAcentral lists this long non-coding RNA (1264 nucleotides) under Sus scrofa (pig). RNAcentral's name for it is "lncRNA (ENSSSCG00050035594.1)". Lineage: Eukaryota; Metazoa; Chordata; Mammalia; Artiodactyla; Suidae. The record is from RNAcentral.